RNAcentral lists this microRNA (19 nucleotides) under Tribolium castaneum (red flour beetle). Its description in RNAcentral is "tca-miR-6014-5p". Lineage: Eukaryota; Metazoa; Arthropoda; Insecta; Coleoptera; Tenebrionidae. The record is from miRBase by way of RNAcentral.
ACUCUCUUGACGUAUUCCA